GUAGUACGUUGAGCCUUGUUGGAGUACCGCCGAACAUUAUGCGACAUAUGCGGCGGAUUUUCAGCCAAUUAUGCACGAGGCGUACUAGCCAGCAUCGUCGUUGCCGACUAUACAGGCAAAUCCAGCGUAUGCUCGACAUAAAGGUCAUCCAAUGAGCUCCCGUAUAUACAAUGAGAUGGACGCUAGGGAAGGUAGGAAGAGGAGUACGUGUAGUAUAUGUCAUCAAGAAGGACAUAAUCGCACAAGGUGUCCGAGAAGAACCCACUGGGCCGAUGCAGCUGGACUGUUGCGUUGAUGUCGUAUGCAGUUUGAGACUUUUUCACACCCUUUUUUUUUUUGUAUAUACAUAUUCUGAUGCAAUGAUGCAUUUUCCAGGAUUGAUCCAAGGUCGUCCGAUCCGAGCGUUUUGACGAUGGGCGACCAUCACAGGGCCAAUCGAGCGUGGGCUGAUAGGCAUGCGGAGCCCCUAUUCUGCCGAGGGGGCACGCAGUUUGCGAAGCAUUAGUUAGAGGCAGACCCCUGCAUUGUCCAGCUGAUACACGAUGCAUGGUUUUAUGGCAUUUAUCGAAUUGCUCAUAUUCAGCUUGAUUGGCAUCUUGUCACAGCAUUGGUGGAGCGAUGGAGACCCGAGACGCACACGUUCCACCUACCUCAUGGCGAGGCCACCGUCACAUUACAGGACGUAGCUAUUUUGUUCGGGUUGCCGAUUGAUGGGCGAGCCGUCACUAGUCGCACUGCCGGACCAGUGGAGGGACCUACAGACCGUUAGGGCCGACUCGCCCUGCGUACUAUGUGCGAGCGUUUGUUAGGCGUCGUUCCGCCUGACAACGAGUUGAUUGGUGCACGCAUCUGUAUGCGAUUCCUCGAGCGGGAUGCGUUUCGUGAGCUCCCAGCACAUGCAGAUUUUCAGAUGAUAGCAUGCCACGCACGAGCCCACUUGUUGCGUUAUAUUUGUGGGGUGAUCUUCUCUGAUGUUUUCGGCAGUUAUGCGCAUCUAAUGUUCCUUCCACUCCUUGAGGAUUUCGGAGCGUGUCACUCAUACAGUUGGGGGUCCGCCACUUUGGCGUGGUUGUACAGUGAAAUGUGUCAUGCCGCAGACCACUCGAAGACACAGAUUGCGGGCCCCCUUCGCUUACUCCAGGUUUAGGCUUGGGAGAGAUUUCCUUCAUUCGCGCCUACGCGGCGAGGUUUCCUGCAGAUUGAGAGGGGUCAGGACGGUCGUCCGGUUGAUCCUCUCCCACUCGCAUACCGAUGGAGGGACAACUUGAGGGCAUCGAUGGUUGUGCUUCACACAUUACCCUGGUACAAGUUCAAGUUGGACAUGCACCGAGAGCAUGAGUUUUUAUGGAUGCCCUACACGGAAGAUAUUUUAGCCGACAUGCCGCCUACCUAUGCAGACGGGAGGGACCUGUGGGUAGCUCGAGUGCCACUAAUAUGCUUUCAUAUUAUUGAGUGGUAUCUCCCCAAUCGAGUCAUGCGACAGUUCGGGUUUCGACAGGUCAUUCCCGCCCCAUUUAUGACUUCGGGGGUAGAUAUUGUUGGGACGAUCUCCACGGCAUGGUUUGAUGUUGCCGUUCGAUUUUUUAUUAUGAAACAUAGAAUCUUAAGUAAUAUCAAUUAAGCAAAUAAUAAAUAAA
Malania oleifera is the source of this 1637-nucleotide long non-coding RNA. RefSeq lists it as uncharacterized. The record is from RefSeq and is a predicted model, not a curated record. The transcript is spliced from 3 exons. NCBI's taxonomy places the organism in Eukaryota, Viridiplantae, Streptophyta, Magnoliopsida, Santalales, Ximeniaceae.